RNAcentral lists this ribosomal RNA (510 nucleotides) under uncultured bacterium. Its description in RNAcentral is "bacterial SSU rRNA". It matches the Rfam family "Bacterial small subunit ribosomal RNA", at positions 17 to 518 of the family's 1533-position model. The record is from RNAcentral.
UCCUGGCUCAGGAUGAACGCUAGCUACAGGCUUAACACAUGCAAGUCGAGGGGCAGCAUUGGAGUAGCAAUACUCAGAUGGCGACCGGCGCACGGGUGAGUAACACGUAUCCAACCUGCCGCUUACUCGGGGAUAGCCUUUCGAAAGAAAGAUUAAUACCCGAUGGUAUAAAGAGUUCGCAUGUUCUCUUUAUUAAAGAAUUUCGGUAAGCGAUGGGGAUGCGUUCCAUUAGAUUGUUGGCGGGGUAACGGCCCACCAAGUCUACGAUGGAUAGGGGUUCUGAGAGGAAGGUCCCCCACAUUGGAACUGAGACACGGUCCAAACUCCUACGGGAGGCAGCAGUGAGGAAUAUUGGUCAAUGGACGAGAGUCUGAACCAGCCAAAAGUAGCGUGAAGGAUGACUGCCCUAUGGGUUGUAAACUUCUUUUAUAAGGGAAUAAAGUGAGGGACGUGUCCCUUUUUGUAUGUACCUUAUGAAUAAGGAUCGGCUAACUCCGUGCCAGCCGCCGC